This is a long non-coding RNA of Callithrix jacchus (white-tufted-ear marmoset), 876 nucleotides long. RefSeq lists it as uncharacterized. The record is from RefSeq and is a predicted model, not a curated record. NCBI's taxonomy places the organism in Eukaryota, Metazoa, Chordata, Mammalia, Primates, Cebidae.
UACCCAGGCUGGAGUGCAAUGGCGCAAUCUCGGCUCACCGCAACCUCCGCCUCCUGGGUUCAGGCAAUUCUCCUGCCUCAGCCUCCCGAGUAGCUGGGACUACAGGCACGCGCCACCAUGCCCAGCUAAUUUUUUGUAUCUUUAGUAGAGACGGGGUUUCACCAUGUUGACCAGGAUGGUCUCGAUCUCUUGACCUCGUGAUCCACCCACCAUGGCCUCCCAAUUUCACAAUUUUUAUGGAAACUAUGGACACAUUCAACCAUGUGUAAUAUAAUUACUUCAUAAGAGCUUUCCUUCAUAAAACUCUCAUCAAACCAAAGAGCUGCUAGGAUGUUUGGGCCACCUGUAACUUCUUAAGUGGCCUCAAGAUGUGCUGAUGUUGCAUGCAAUAGAGAAGAAGUCAACCAUGCUCAUUGGUUCUACAGAGAAAUGAGCCAUAAGUGACUUCGGAAUUAUAUUUUCCUACUUCACAGAAAAUCUGACUUCAGAAUCUUUAAAGAUCAUCACAUGGUUAGUCGUGUCCUCUUUUCCUUCUACCCAAAACCUCCAUGUCCUGGAGAGGGAUUGCUCCUUUAACGCAGCCAAAGUAGCCUGGAAUAGAGAUGUAACAUGAGUGACGGAGAAAUCUUUAUUGUUAUUUGUAUGUUGAAAUCUUCACUUCCAAGGUGAUAGUAUCACGAGAUGGGACUUCAGGGAGGUGAUUAGGUCAUAAAAGGAAUUAGUGGCUUUAUCAAAGAGGCAGGGGAGAUGCUCCUUGCUUAUUCCCUUGUGUGAAGAUACAGUAAAAAGACGCUGCCUACAAGCAAGAAAUCUGGCCCUGGCCAGACAAUGAAUGGUGCCUUGAUCUUGGACUUCCCAGCUUCCAGAACUGUGGGA